GAUGAACGCUGGCGGCGUGCCUAAUACAUGCAAGUCGAGCGAACGGACGAGAAGCUUGCUUUUCUGAUGUUAGCGGCGGACGGGUGAGUAACACGUGGAUAACCUACCUAUAAGACUGGGAUAACUUCUGGUAACCGGUGCUCAUACCGGAUAAUAUUUUGACCCGCAUGGUUCAAGAGUGAAAGACGGUCUUGCUGUCACUUAUAGAUGGAUCCGCGCUGCAUGAGCUAGUUGGUAAGGUAACGGCUUACCAAGGCAACGAUGCAUAGCCGACCCGAGAGGGGGGACGGCCAGAUGGGAAGUGAGACAGGGCACCGACUCCUACGGGGGGCAGCAGUAGGGAAUCUUCCGGGAUGGGGGAAAGCCGGAUUGAGCAACGUCGCGGGAGGGAUGAAGGUCUUAGGAUCGUAGAACGAUGUUAGUAGGGAAGAAGAUAUGUGUAAGUAACUGUGAACAACCUGACGGUACCUAAUCAGAAAGCCACGGCUAACUACGUG
Molecule: ribosomal RNA, 497 nt
Filed under: uncultured bacterium
Lineage: Bacteria
Description: partial 16S ribosomal RNA
Rfam family: Bacterial small subunit ribosomal RNA
Source: RNAcentral